Molecule: non-coding RNA, 144 nt
Organism: Arvicanthis niloticus (Nile rat)
Lineage: Eukaryota; Metazoa; Chordata; Mammalia; Rodentia; Muridae
Source: RefSeq, a predicted model, not a curated record
ACUUCCCGGCAAUGGGCAAAGAGACACAUUGUUGGUGAUGGUGUUCUUAUAUCAGUCAGGACCAGAGCACAUGGCAGUCCUUUGUUCAUCCUAGCCUGAUGCCUGGCUUUGUGGUCAAAGCUGUUUUAUGCCCAGGACUCAUAA